Molecule: long non-coding RNA, 2302 nt
Organism: Felis catus (domestic cat)
Lineage: Eukaryota; Metazoa; Chordata; Mammalia; Carnivora; Felidae
Exons: 6
Source: RefSeq, a predicted model, not a curated record
AUAGAGAGGUGUGGGAAAGAAUAGUGCCUUUCUGCUGCCUUUCUUCUAGCUUGAAACUGAGUCCUGGGAGGACAGGACAGCUGCCACACUAACCACCCCAUUGGGAAUGCUGGAGUAAGACCAUUUAACCUCCGCAAGAUUAAAGCUGUGAUUCAGUAGAAGGAGCACAGGAUUUGGAAGAACUACUACCCACCCAACUCUGCAACCGUCCAAACACCAUGCAAGUUGAGUACUAGCCCCGCACUUGAGAGAGUCGAUUAACCUGUUUGAGCGGUAGUUUCCUUGUACGUAAAGGCCUGCUGGACCUCUGGAACUGGUUUUGUGAGUCCGCGUUCAUUUUAAUUCCAUUAGCAAACUUGGACUUGCUCGUGCUGACUACUGAUUCUUGAUGACAAAGUGAAAACGGAUGCAAAGUUUUACAGCGAGUUUGUAACCUGUAAGGGGACUCUUUGUCCCUCCAGCAAGGCCCUUAAAAAGCAAGCUCUCAGAGGCUGGUUACUGGAUGCCAACGUGCGGGGCCAGAAAGACCAUCUAACAAAAGCGGUUUAAAAGAGACUUGACAACGGUGUUUUACCCAGAGCAAAGUGUGCCCAAACAUUUCAAACCAGAGCUGUCGACAAAGAAUGUGUUUGCAAACCAGACAGAAUUUAAAAUAAACUUGAGCCGGCAAAUGAUAAACCUUCCCUAAAAAGCUCCCUGCCUGCACUCAAAGCAGCUCAAAAUCCAGAAAAGGACAGUGGGUCACAGAUGGUGAGUGCUCCGGGGUGGGGACAAGGGGACACUCUAGUUUGGGCUCAAAGCAGAAAAGGGAAUCCUAAUGGUCAGAGAGAGGGGGCCAAGUGUACUAUUUCACUGUUUUCUCUCUCUUCCUUUCUGCUUCUCUAUGUCCCAGCCUCCAAGCAGUCCCAUGACUGCUUGGUAUAUAGGGCAAGGUGUAUAGUAACUGGUAUACAGAACCAGGGCCUGGGAUAUAGUACCAAGGUCAAGGAGUACUAGCGAUGAACACUGAUGCACGAAUGAUAUUUACUGAAUGAUAUUUUUUGGCUCAGGAUUGGCCGUCUCAGGUGUGGAUGAAUGAUGUGGAAGCCAGAAGAUGAGGUUAGAAAAGAAGGCUGUACUUCUAUCUGGAAAAGGCACCGUCAGAUCGAAACCAAGACAUCUAUCUCACGUCCAGUUUAAAGUACAUCCCAUCUCCGGGCGCCUGGGUGGCUCAGUCGGUUGAGCGUCCGACUUCGGCUCAAGUCAUGAUCUCGCGGUUUGUGAGUUCGAGCCCCACGUCGGGCUCUGUGCUGACAGCUCGGAGCCUGGAGCCUGCUUCGGAUUCUGUGUCUCCCUCUGGCUCUGCCCCUCCCCUGCUCAUGCUCUGUGUGUCUCUCUGUCUUUCAAUAAUAAAUAAACGUUAAAAAAGUUUUUUUAAGUACAUCCCAUCUCCAGCUCCAUCCCGAACUUCCAACUGCAGACAAGAGAUAGAAGUAAUUCAAUGGUCGCUCUGCAUUCUUUCUGCACUUGUCUCUCCCUCUGCUUCCCCCUGACCAUAUAUCCAAGGUAAGGAUGCCCAGGCUUAUCCUGGGUAGUGGUGAGAGAGCUUGUGGUGGGAGAAACAGUAAGUGGGCCAAAAGGUCUUAUUCAGCUGGUGCCGUUGUAAUCUGCCCUUGGUGAGCUCUGUGUGGUCAGUGCCCAAACACUGGGUCUUCCUCAAAGAAAGGGCUUUUGUGGGUUUGCUCUCUAGUUCCUCCUCAUUCCUCCAAAGCCACACUGAUAGAAUCCUCUUCUGCUGGGGCCACCUUCUCCUUAUAGGUCAUCUUCUUGGGCCAAAACUUUCAGGGCAACUCAAGCCAGAUCUCCCCUUCCACUGGUGUCUGCCAUAUGCAGGAAUUGAAAGCUGCCCCCAAGAACUUUCUCAAGGUCUCUCCAGUAGCAGCACGUGGCCACAUCUCAACUGAGCUGCAGGAGAGGGACAAUGGGAGAUGUCAAUUUCCCCUUACGGUUGCACCGUCUUCCAUGUUAGUGUUUUUCAAACUCCCAUCACUUGGCUUGAGUCACACGGGAAGGGAGGAGAAGCACAUAGCACCCUGCCCACUGGGCCAACUGUUUUCAUCCAUUUCUCUGUCACUUUCUCCUUUUCUUGAAUGUGGGCUGAAAAAGGAUGAUAGGCUAGGGUUUUUGAAGAUAUCUUUUAGUAAGCCUUAGUAUGUCUCUUUAGGAUACAUGAUACUGCUCGUUCACCUGGGGACCUCUCUAAGACCUGGAGCAUCUCUAUGUUCUGUCACACCAGACUUUUACAUCAUGGAAUACGUGUAAC